GAUGAACGCUGGCGGCGUGCCUAAUACAUGCAAGUCGAGCGAACAGACGAGGAGCUUGCUCCUCUGACGUUAGCGGCGGACGGGUGGGUAACACGUGGAUAACCUACCUAUAAGACUGGGAUAACUUCGGGAAACCGGAGCUAAUACCGGAUAAUAUAUUGAGCCGCAUGGUUCAAUAGUGAAAGACGGUUUUGCUGUCACUUAUAGAUGGAUCCGCGCCGCAUUAGCUAGUUGGUAAGGUAACGGCUUACCAAGGCAACGAUGCGUAGCCGACCUGAGAGGGUGAUCGGCCACACUGGAACUGAGACACGGUCCAGACUCCUACGGGAGGCAGCAGUAGGGAAUCUUCCGCAAUGGGCGAAAGCCUGACGGAGCAACGCCGCGUGAGUGAUGAAGGUCUUCGGAUCGUAAAACUCUGUUAUUAGGGAAGAACAAAUGUGUAAGUAACUAUGCACGUCUUGACGGUACCUAAUCAGAAAGCCACGGCUAACUACGUG
This 497-nucleotide ribosomal RNA is filed under the name uncultured bacterium. RNAcentral's name for it is "partial 16S ribosomal RNA". It matches the Rfam family "Bacterial small subunit ribosomal RNA", at positions 28 to 507 of the family's 1533-position model. The record is from RNAcentral.